CCUUGUUCUGAGUGAUGUAACUGAUCCGUCUAGAGCAGUCCAGCUGGUCCCUUGUUCUGAGUGAUGUAACUGAUCCGUCUAGAGCAGUCCAGCUGGUCCCUUG
Non-coding RNA from Salvelinus sp. IW2-2015, 103 nucleotides. The record is from RefSeq and is a predicted model, not a curated record. NCBI's taxonomy places the organism in Eukaryota, Metazoa, Chordata, Actinopteri, Salmoniformes, Salmonidae.